This 20-nucleotide small RNA is filed under the name Arabidopsis thaliana (thale cress). Its description in RNAcentral is "ATSL204900". The record is from RNAcentral. Lineage: Eukaryota; Viridiplantae; Streptophyta; Magnoliopsida; Brassicales; Brassicaceae.
ACAAAAAAGCAAAAAAAAAC